This 440-nucleotide ribosomal RNA is filed under the name Staphylococcus aureus. RNAcentral's name for it is "partial 23S ribosomal RNA". It matches the Rfam family "Bacterial large subunit ribosomal RNA", at positions 1356 to 1791 of the family's 2925-position model. The record is from RNAcentral. Lineage: Bacteria; Bacillati; Bacillota; Bacilli; Caryophanales; Staphylococcaceae.
AGAGGAAGGCUCGUCCGCUCUGGGUUAGUCGGGUCCUAAGCUGAGGCCGACAGGCGUAGGCGAUGGAUAACAGGUUGAUAUUCCUGUACCACCUAUAAUCGUUUUAAUCGAUGGGGGGACGCAGUAGGAUAGGCGAAGCGUGCGAUUGGAUUGCACGUCUAAGCAGUAAGGCUGAGUAUUAGGCAAAUCCGGUACUCGUUAAGGCUGAGCUGUGAUGGGGAGAAGACAUUGUGUCUUCGAGUCGUUGAUUUCACACUGCCGAGAAAAGCCUCUAGAUAGAAAAUAGGUGCCCGUACCGCAAACCGACACAGGUAGUCAAGAUGAGAAUUCUAAGGUGAGCGAGCGAACUCUCGUUAAGGAACUCGGCAAAAUGACCCCGUAACUUCGGGAGAAGGGGUGCUCUUUAGGGUUAACGCCCAGAAGAGCCGCAGUGAAUAGGC